UACGUAGGGGGCGAGCGUUAUCCAGAUUUACUGGGCGUAAAGCGCGUGUAGGCGGCUGGUUAGGUGUGAUGUGAAAUCCUCGGGCUCAACCCGAGAACUGCAUUGCAAACCGGCCUGGCUAGAGUGCAGGAGAGGGAAGCGGAAUUCCAGGUGUAGCGGUGAAAUUCGUAGAUAUUCGGAAGAACACCAGUGGCGAAGGCGGCUCACUGGCCCGGUACUGACGCUGAGGUGCGAAAGCGUGGGGAGCAAACAGG
This 254-nucleotide ribosomal RNA is filed under the name uncultured bacterium. Its description in RNAcentral is "partial 16S ribosomal RNA". It matches the Rfam family "Bacterial small subunit ribosomal RNA", at positions 524 to 776 of the family's 1533-position model. The record is from RNAcentral.